Molecule: long non-coding RNA, 453 nt
Organism: Varanus komodoensis (Komodo dragon)
Lineage: Eukaryota; Metazoa; Chordata; Lepidosauria; Squamata; Varanidae
Exons: 3
Source: RefSeq, a predicted model, not a curated record
GCCGAUUCCGUCACUAUCCCAUCAUUCUCAGCGGGGAGCAGUAGAGUGGGCCCUAGAACGGCGGCGACUGGCUGCGGCCCGUCAUGUCGGAGAAGAAACAGCCCGUUGAUCUUGGGCUUCUAGAGGAGGAUGACGAGUUUGAGGAGUUCCCAGCCGAAGAUUGGGCUGGUUUAGAUGAAGAUGAAGAUGCACAUGUGUGGGAGGACAACUGGGAUGAUGACAAUGUGGAAGAUGAUUUCUCCAAUCAGUUAAGAGCAGAGCUAGAAAAACACGGCUACAAGAUGGAAACCUCAUAGCUUCCAGUGACAGAUUGGACUGUAAAUUGAACAUAGAUGUGAAAGAUGAUAAACUGAAGAUAUUGGGACAAGAUGGAAGAAAAGAUAUUAUGCUGUCCAUUAUUACCUUAAAUUUUGUGGGUUUUUUGUAUAAAUAAAUAAAAAAAGAAUCAAAACA